GACGAACGCUGGCGGCGCGCUUAACACAUGCAAGUCGAACGGAAAGGCCUGCUUUCCCUUGUGGAUUGCGGGUACUCGAGUGGCGAACGGGUGAGUAACACGUGAGUGAUCUGCCCCCAACUUGGGUAUAAGCCUGGGAAACUGGGUCUAAUUCCCGAUAGGACUGCAGGGUGGUGCCUGUGGUGGAAAACGAUUUUCUAGUGGUUGGGGAUGAGCUCGCGGCCUAUCAGCUUGUUGGUGGGGUAAUGGCCUACCAAGGCGGCGACGGGUAGCCGGCCUGAGAGGGUGGACAGCCACAUUGGGACUGAGAUACGGCCCAGACGCCUACGGGAGGCAGCAGUGGGGAAUAUUGCACAAUGGGCGGAAGCCUGAUGCAGCGACGCCGUGUGGGGGAUGACGGCCUUCGGGUUGUAAGCUCCUUUCGACCGCGAGGAAGCCACCUGGUUGGAAGGGUGGUGACGGUAGUGGUAGAAGAAGCACCGGCUAACUACGUG
This 494-nucleotide ribosomal RNA is filed under the name uncultured bacterium. RNAcentral's name for it is "partial 16S ribosomal RNA". It matches the Rfam family "Bacterial small subunit ribosomal RNA", at positions 28 to 507 of the family's 1533-position model. The record is from RNAcentral.